CCUACGGGAGGCAGCAGUGGGGAAUAUUGGACAAUGGGCGCAAGCCUGAUCCAGCGACGCCGCGUGAAGGAAGAAGUCUUUCGGUAUGUAAACUUCUAUUAGCAGGGAGGAAAAUGACGGUACCUGUCUAAGAAUCCCCGGCUAACUACGUCACAGCAGCCGCGGCAAUACGUAGGGGGCAAGCGUUAUCCGGAUUUACUGGGUGUAAAGGGAGCGUAGGCGGGGCAGCAAGUCAGAAGUGAAAGCCCGGGGCUCAACUCCGGGACUGCUUUUGAAACUGUUGAACUAGAUUGCAGGAGAGGUAGGUGGAAUUCCUAGUGUAGCGGUGAAAUGCGUAGAUAUUAGGAGGAACACCAGUGGCGAAGGCGGCUUACUGGACUGUAAAUGACGCUGAGGCGCGAAAGCGUGGGGAGCAAACAGGAUUAGAUACCCUUGUAGUC
Molecule: ribosomal RNA, 440 nt
Filed under: uncultured bacterium
Lineage: Bacteria
Description: partial 16S ribosomal RNA
Rfam family: Bacterial small subunit ribosomal RNA
Source: RNAcentral